RNAcentral lists this ribosomal RNA (927 nucleotides) under Triticum aestivum (bread wheat). Its description in RNAcentral is "partial small subunit ribosomal RNA". The record is from RNAcentral. Lineage: Eukaryota; Viridiplantae; Streptophyta; Magnoliopsida; Poales; Poaceae.
AUGCUGAACACACAUAACCCCAUUGUCAAGUUGUUUAGGACAGCAAGUCAAAGAUUAGCUAGGAGUGAUUCCGAUCAUUUAACAAUCAGGAUAUAUGGCAAACCUGAUGCCCAUGGAGACAUCUACAGUGCUCCAGUCGCGUCUCAGGUUGUUGGAUUUGUGGUCGGUGAUAUUGGGUCAUCUAAUGUAGGACGAGACAUUAUAAUAGAAGACCAUUCAUCACAGUUACCGCGAAUUAGUGAGAAACACCCCAAGUUUAUGUCCAUGCAGUAUCCUCUCUUAUUCCCAUACGGGGAAGAUGGCUACCAUGAUGAGCUUAUGUACCGGCAACGAUCAAGUACUUCAGCCAAUCAGUGCCAAAAAGUCAUAAUGCUACAGUACUACACAUAUAGGUUGCAUGAUAGGCCAAAUGACUUCAAUACUCCAUUACGAUGCAAAAGAUUAACACAUGUUUAUUAUGUGGAUGGAUAUUGUUGUGUUGCAACAUUCUGUAUUGGAUUCUACCGCAAGCCUAGCUUUCUAAGUAAAUAUAGAUCAUCAUCAUUUAGUUCUUUGGCAAAUUCUGUAUCAAGAGGUAUUACAUCCAGUUCUUCUGUUGGGCACAGGAUUAUAUUACCAUCCUCCUUUACUGGAGGCCCUCACUAUUUAUACCAAAACUAUCAAGAUUCCAUCGCUAUUUGUAGAAAAUAUGGUUGCCCAGAUCUAUUUGUGACGUUCACAUCAAAUGCUGCCUGGCCUGAAGUUAUGGACGCUUUAUCCUCCAUUCCAGGUCAAGAGCCAUCUGACCGUCCAGAUAUUAUCAACCGGGUAUUCAAAAUGAAGCUUGAUAUGUUGAUGGAUGAUAUUAAAAAUAAAAAAAUCUUCGGUCCCAUAAAUCUAUCUACACAGUUGAAUUUCAUAAACGUGGCCUCCCACAUGCUCAUAUAA